Molecule: ribosomal RNA, 408 nt
Filed under: uncultured bacterium
Lineage: Bacteria
Description: partial 16S ribosomal RNA
Rfam family: Bacterial small subunit ribosomal RNA
Source: RNAcentral
AUUGAACGCUGGCGGCGUGCUUAACACAUGCAAGUCGAACGAAGUGGCGAACGGGUGAGUAACGCGUAAUCAACCUGCCCUUCAGAGGGGGACAACAGUUGGAAACGACUGCUAAUACCGCAUACUGAAGGAGGGGAUUGCGUCUGAUUAGCUAGUUGGAGGGGUAACGGCCCACCAAGGCGAUGAUCAGUAGCAGGGCUGAGAGGAUGAACGGCAACAUUGGGACUGAGACACGGACCAGACGUCUACGGGAGGCAGCAGUGGGGAAUCGUCCGCAAUGGACGAAAGUCUGACGAAGCAACGACGCGUGAGUGAUGACGGCCUUCGGGUUGGAAAGCUCUGUUAAUCGGGACGCGGUACCGGAAUAGAAAGCCACGGCUAACUACGUGCCAGCAGCCGCGGUAAUUC